Molecule: ribosomal RNA, 465 nt
Filed under: Clavodorum cf. atlanticum MC-2015
Lineage: Eukaryota; Metazoa; Annelida; Polychaeta; Phyllodocida; Sphaerodoridae
Description: partial 16S ribosomal RNA
Rfam family: Bacterial large subunit ribosomal RNA
Source: RNAcentral
UUAUUCAAGAUAUGCCCUGCUCAAUGAUUUUAAAUAGCUGCAGUAAUUUGACUGUACAAAGGUAGCAUAAUCAAUUGCUUUUUAAUUAAAGGCUGGAAUGAAUGGGUUAAUAAAAUUAUGACUGUCUCUUUUGUAUAUAUAUAAAUUAAUUUUUCAGUGAAAAAGCUGAAAUUUUAUUAAAAGACGGUGAGACCCUUUGAGUUAUUAUAUAUUUGGGAUUUUUAAGGAAAGUAUGUUUUUACUGGGGUGGUAGAGGAAUAUAGUAAUCUUCCUUUUAUUAUGAAGGAGUAAAUUUUGAUAUAUGAUCUUUUAUUAGUUAAUGAUUAGUUACCUAAGGGAUAACAGAUUAAUUUUUUUGAAAAGUUCUUAUUGAUAAAAAAGAUUAAUACCUCGAUGUUGGCUUAAGAUUUCAAUUAGGUGUAGAAGUCUAAUAUGUUGGUUUGUUCAACCAUUAAAAUUUUACGU